UACGUAGGUGGCAAGCGUUAUCCGGAUUUAUUGGGCGUAAAGGGAACGCAGGCGGUCUUUUAAGUCUGAUGUGAAAGCCUUCGGCUUAACCGGAGUGGUGCAUUGGAAACUGGGAGACUUGAGUGCAGAAGAGGAGAGUGGAACUCCAUGAGUAGCGGUGAAAUGCGUAGAUAUAUGGAAGAACACCAGUGGCGAAAGCGGCUCUCUGGUCUGUAACUGACGCUGAGGUUCGAAAGCGUGGGUAGCAAACAGG
Molecule: ribosomal RNA, 253 nt
Filed under: uncultured bacterium
Lineage: Bacteria
Description: partial 16S ribosomal RNA
Rfam family: Bacterial small subunit ribosomal RNA
Source: RNAcentral